GCUUGGAAAACUUUGUAUAUGACACCUCAACAGAUUCCAUCAAUUAUGCUAAAUGACCAGUAAAAAUGUUCAAUCAAAAACUCAUUUUAAGGUACACUGUUAAUGAACUGUAUAUAAUGAUGCUUAAUCAAAACCCGACACCCUUCCAUGGGAGAAAGGUUCCAUAGGACCUCAGGAGCACUAUUGUUCAGAACAAAAGAUAACAUUAAAACAGUGUAAUUAAUAGCCCACACUUAUGUGACAUUCUCUAAAGAAUCUCAGUUUCACAACACCCUCCAUUGUUUUAGAGACGGGAGAAACUGUGGUUCAUAAUAUCACUAAUACCAUCAGCAAUGACACAUCAUUUUGCAGGCUGUUUUUAUUUUACUGUAUUUCAGUGAAAAUAAAGGUUAAGAUACAAAAUUGGCCAAUGGACACACUGACCACAGGAACGAAGAGAGUAGUGCUUGUUUUGGAUACAUAUAAUUUGAACGUUACCUAUUACAAUUAGAAAAAAUUCCAAGAUAUAGUCUUCACAAAAUGUCAUUUGUAAUCUUAGAGGGUGGGUGAGGUUUAAUUAAAGUGGUUUGAAGGUGAAGCUUAAAAGGGACAGAGAGGAAAGAAGGAGGAAUGAAAGAGGAGGAGGGAAAGAGGGACACGGACUCUGUCCCAUCCGAUUAUCUUACGUCUAACUUAGUUCUUGGUGCAUAGGUAGCGCUUAAUAAGCAUACCAUUAUUAUUAAUAUUACUAUCAUGAGGAAAGAAAAAGAGGAAGGAGGAGGAGAGAGGGGAAGAUGAAGAUGACAAAAGGAGAAGUAAAGGAGAGGAGGAAAAGUGGGAGUGAAAAGAGAGAAAGGAUAAAGCUUAUUUCUCCACCACCAGCUGCCUUCUGCCAUCUUCUAAUAUUGCUUUCACAAUCAAAUCACCAUAAGUGACAGUGGCCAUGGUAGCCCAGCCCUCAGUGGACCAGUUCAACCAGGGCUGUUGCAGCCCAGGUGGCAGUGAUGAGGGGAGGGAAGGAGUCAGAGGACCAAAGCUCUGGUUCAACUAUGUGGCCGAUCCUCAGGCUCUGGGAUUUGGAAGCUCCCUUAGCCUUUCCAAGAAUUGGACUGUGUGUGCAAGGUUGGGGACUGCCACAGCUCCAUUCUCUUUUUUCUACCCUUAUUAUCAUACCUCUUACAUCACCUCCUCCAUUUUGUUGUUAAUCAGGCCAUAGCAUCUGAGGAGGGCUUUAGUUUCUCAAGACAUAAGCAUAUCCUGAAAACCUAAAAUGAGUAACAAAAUAAACUCCUAAAUUUCAUCACUGUCUCCCUCAAAUUAAGAAGACUGGUCUCUUUUAAUUUAAUUUGUCAUUUGUGUCCUUUGACAACUUAGGAACCAGAGUUCUAUCUGAAAAUGCAUAUGGAAAUGAAGGCGGAGAAGAUUACAGUGUUGCUAGUUCUGACAUAGCCUUCUGACUUAAACUUCUGAGUUAAAACCCAGAACCUGGGACAGAAAGGCCCCUUUCUGCUUCCCACAAUAUGUGCUUCUACCAAAGCAGAAAAUCUAAACUGAAAAUUCUCAGACCUCUCAUCUAAGACUACGCAGUCUUGUCAUAGUGACAUCCACAGUCACUAAACUAAAGCCUUUUAGUGUUAAAUAUAUAUUCUCUUGUGCAGGCUAUGAUACAUCUCUGGGAUUAGCUUCUUUCUGCCCCACUGUAAUCAGACAGUUAAUCUAUCUACAUUGUGUCCUUCAAUCUCACUUGGUCCCCAUGUGCUCAGAUAUUUGAAAAAGGACACAUUAUUAGUAUUCUAAAAAAUUCUCAUUGGAUUUUUUUUGGUCCAAAAUUGCUUCUUAACCCAAAUUAGCCACUCUAGGCUGGAAUUUAUGGGAAGUAUUUGGAAAUCCACCAGUGCCUAAAACCAAGACUGAAAAAUGGUUUCACAAAUGACUAAGGGAAACAGAUUCACCAUUCAAUUAUAGUUAAGACUUUACACACACACACACACAAACACACACACAUCUUUUCUUUGUAAAUGAAAAUGACUGAACAGUAAAGUCUUAUGCA
RNAcentral lists this long non-coding RNA (2029 nucleotides) under Ornithorhynchus anatinus (platypus). Its description in RNAcentral is "lncRNA (ENSOANG00000045921.1)". Lineage: Eukaryota; Metazoa; Chordata; Mammalia; Monotremata; Ornithorhynchidae. The record is from RNAcentral.